GAAGGGGGCAAAAGCAUGAAGGACUGCUAAUCCUCCACCCUGUGGUUAAACUCCACAGCCCCU
RNAcentral lists this transfer RNA (63 nucleotides) under Pseudemoia entrecasteauxii. RNAcentral describes it as "partial tRNA-Ser". Lineage: Eukaryota; Metazoa; Chordata; Lepidosauria; Squamata; Scincidae. The record is from RNAcentral.